This 1332-nucleotide ribosomal RNA is filed under the name uncultured bacterium. RNAcentral describes it as "bacterial SSU rRNA". It matches the Rfam family "Bacterial small subunit ribosomal RNA", at positions 28 to 1382 of the family's 1533-position model. The record is from RNAcentral.
GACGAACGCUGGCGGCGCGCCUAACACAUGCAAGUCGAACGAGAGAUGAGGAGCUUGCUCUUCAAAUCGAGUGGCGAACGGGUGAGUAACGCGUGAGGAACCUGCCUCAAAGAGGGGGACAACAGUUGGAAACGACUGCUAAUACCGCAUAAGCCCACAGCUCGGCAUCGAGCAGAGGGAAAGGGAGUGAUCCGCUUUGAGAUGGCCUCGCGUCCGAUUAGCUAGUUGGUGGGGUAACGGCCCACCAAGGCGACGAUCGGUAGCCGGACUGAGAGGUUGAACGGCCACAUUGGGACUGAGACACGGCCCAGACUCCUACGGGAGGCAGCAGUGGGGAAUAUUGCACAAUGGGGGAAACCCUGAUGCAGCGACGCCGCGUGGAGGAAGAAGGUCUUCGGAUUGUAAACUCCUGUUGUUGAGGAAGAUAAUGACGGUACUCAACAAGGAAGUGACGGCUAACUACGUGCCAGCAGCCGCGGUAAAACGUAGGUCACAAGCGUUGUCCGGAAUUACUGGGUGUAAAGGGAGCGCAGCGGGAGAACAAGUUGGAAGUGAAAUCCAUGGGCUCAACCCAUGAACUGCUUUCAAAACUGUUUUUCUUGAGUAGUGCAGAGGUAGGCGGAAUUCCCGGUGUGGCGGUGGAAUGCGUAGAUAUCGGGAGGAACACCAGUGGCGAAGGCGGCCUACUGGGCACCAACUGACGCUGAGGCUCGAAAGUGUGGGUAGCAAACAGGAUUAGAUACCCUGGUAGUCCACACCGUAAACGAUGAUUACUAGGUGUUGGAGGAUUGACCCCUUCAGUGCCGCAGUUAACACAAUAAGUAAUCCACCUGGGGAGUACGACCGCAAGGUUGAAACUCAAAGGAAUUGACGGGGGCCCGCACAAGCAGUGGAGUAUGUGGUUUAAUUCGACGCAACGCGAAGAACCUUACCAAGUCUUGACAUCCCUUGACGAUGCUGGAAACAGUAUUUCUCUUCGGAGCAAGGAGACAGGUGGUGCAUGGUUGUCGUCAGCUCGUGUCGUGAGAUGUUGGGUUAAGUCCCGCAACGAGCGCAACCCUUAUGGUCAGUUACUACGCAAGAGGACUCUGGCCAGACUGCCGUUGACAAAACGGAGGAAGGUGGGGAUGACGUCAAAUCAUCAUGCCCUUUAUGACUUGGGCUACACACGUACUACAAUGGCGUUAAACAAAGAGAAGCAAGACCGCGAGGUGGAGCAAAACUCAGAAACAACGUCCCAGUUCGGACUGCAGGCUGCAACUCGCCUGCACGAAGUCGGAAUUGCUAGUAAUCGUGGAUCAGCAUGCCACGGUGAAUACGUUCCCGGGCCUU